Molecule: long non-coding RNA, 276 nt
Filed under: Gossypium raimondii (Peruvian cotton)
Lineage: Eukaryota; Viridiplantae; Streptophyta; Magnoliopsida; Malvales; Malvaceae
Description: long non-coding RNA (GRAI_LNC003050)
Source: RNAcentral
GGUCAUUGAAGGAAAUUGUUAACCGAGAGGAUUAAUUGAUUUUUUUUGUUAACAGUAGGGGCUUAAUUGGGUGCGAAUUUAAUAUAGGGGCUUGAUUGAUUUUUUGCAUUUUCUUAAGUUUUUUUUUUUGACAUAAAAGCCUUUUUAAAAUAUGUAAUAUGUUCCAAUAUGUUUGAUUGGUGUUAUCAAAUCUGAAUAACCAUGUUUAUUUGGUAAACUUCCAAGCUUGAAAAGUUACGAUUUUCAAAAAGACACUUAUGUACUUUUUGGUACAUU